This 497-nucleotide ribosomal RNA is filed under the name uncultured bacterium. Its description in RNAcentral is "partial 16S ribosomal RNA". It matches the Rfam family "Bacterial small subunit ribosomal RNA", at positions 28 to 507 of the family's 1533-position model. The record is from RNAcentral.
GGUGAACGCUGGCGGCGUGCCUAAUACAUGCAAGUCGAGCGAACAGACGAGGAGCUUGCUCCUCUGACGUUAGCGGCGGACGGGUGAGUAACACGUGGAUAACCUACCUAUAAGACUGGGAUAACUUCGGGAAACCGGAGCUAAUACCGGAUAAUAUAUUGAACCGCAUGGUUCAAUAGUGAAAGACGGUUUUGCUGUCACUUAUAGAUGGAUCCGCGCCGCAUUAGCUAGUUGGUAAGGUAACGGCUUACCAAGGCAACGAUGCGUAGCCGAUCUGAGAGGGUGAUCGGCCACACUGGAACUGAGACACGGUCCAGACUCCUACGGGAGGCAGCAGUAGGGAAUCUUCCGCAAUGGGCGAAAGCUUGACGGAGCAACGCCGCGUGAGUGAUGAAGGUCUUCGGAUCGUAAAACUCUGUUAUUAGGGAAGAACAAAUGUGUAAGUAACUAUGCACGUCUUGACGGUACCUAAUCAGAAAGCCACGGCUAACUACGUG